This 1860-nucleotide ribosomal RNA is filed under the name Triticum aestivum (bread wheat). RNAcentral describes it as "partial small subunit ribosomal RNA". Lineage: Eukaryota; Viridiplantae; Streptophyta; Magnoliopsida; Poales; Poaceae. The record is from RNAcentral.
AUGAUGUUCCACAGAUUAGCUGAUGUACCUGUGGUACUAUUAUGGCUCGGCGCAGUGCUUGCCGCAACGCCACAACCUAGCAGCAAGUGCCAAAGAAAAUGCGGCAGCAUAGACAUCCCUUACCCAUUCGGCAUCGUCCAUUCACCCGACGACGACGACGGCCACUGCACCAUGAACGGCUUCGGCCUGACCUGCAACGAGACCGGCAUUGAUGGUGGGCGCCACAGGCCAUUUUAUGGCGACGUGGAGGUCGUCGGCGUCUCGCUGCAGCAAGGUCAGGCUCGGAUGCUGAAUGAUAUCUCCUAUUAUUGCUACAACACCAUCACUCGGGAGAUGGACCGCGACGAGUGGUGGCUGAACUUUGUGGGCACACCCUUGAGGUUCUCUGACACCACCAACAAGUUCACGGUCAUCGGUUGCGAAACGCUGGCAUACAUCAACGGCGAUGACAGCAACCACGGCGAUGAUGGCGAUUACGGCGGCAAGUACAUGAGCGGGUGCGUGGCCAUGUGCCGGGGAGACGAUGUGAGGUCGACCCUGAGCAACGGCUCCUGCUCCGGGAUAGGGUGCUGCCAGACCGCCAUCCCCGGGGGGCUGCAGUACUACCACGUGGAGUUUGACUCUGCCUUUAACACGACGGAGAUCCACAACGUCAGCCGCUGCAGCUACGCGGUGCUCAUGGACUCGUCCAACUUCACCUUCUCGACCACCUAUGUGGCCUGGCCGGUGUUCAUGAAUAACUACGGCGGCCAGGCGCCGUUCGUCAUGGAUUGGUCUAUCGGGAAUGAGACAUGCGACAUAGCCCGUAAGAAACCUGGGUCAUACGCGUGUGUCAGCGACAACAGCGAGUGCUUCAACUCGCUCAAUGGACCAGGCUACAUCUGCAACUGCUCCAAAGGCUUCCAUGGUAAUCCUUACCUGCAAGAUCCGGAGCACGGAUGCAAAGACAUUGAUGAAUGCAAGCUCCCCCAAUUGUAUCGCUGCACAAAUGGCGGGGUCUGCAGAAACAGGCUAGGAGGCUAUGACUGCCCAUGCAAAUUUAGAUGGAAAGCCGACGCCAAAGCGGGAACUUGCAUAGAUCAUUUCCCUCUAGCAGCUAAGGUGGUAGUCGAGAAAAGGAAGAUGGCAGAAUUCUUCAAAAAGAAUGGCGGCCCUACAUUAGAGAAGGCAACAAGCAUUGAAAUUUUCAAAUAUGAGGACCUCAAGUCAUUUCUAAAGAGAAACAACUUAAUUGCAAAUGGUUCCUUUGGUGAAGUUUACAAGGGCCUUCUUGAAAAUAAACUAGUUGCAAUAAAGAAGCCGAUUAAUGGUACCGUGCGAGAGAAUGAACAAUUUGCAAAUGAAGUCAUCAUCCAAUCUCAACUCAUCCACAAGAACAUUGUUAGGCUCAUUGGUUGUUGCCCUGAAGUUGAAGCCCCCCUCCUGGUCUAUGAGUUUAUCUCCCAAGGUAGCCUCCAUAACAUUCUUCACAACAACAAUAACAAGGUGGCUCUCAACUUGGAUGCACGUUUAAGAAUUGCUGCACAUUCAGCGGAUGGUCUAGCUUAUAUGCACUCACAAGCAAACACUAGAAUUCUACACGGUGAUGUCAAACCAGCAAAUAUACUCUUGGAUGAGAACUUUGCACCCAAAAUUUUAGACUUUGGCAUAUCUAGGUUGCUUGCAACGAACAAACAACACACUACGUCAAUCAUCGGCGAUGUGAAUUACAUGGAUCCAGUAUAUCUACAAGAAGGCCUACUCACCAAAAAAAAUGAUGUCUACAAGAAGGCCUACUCACCGAAAAAAAUGGACAUAUCUAGAACUGCAAUACAUCUAGAUACAUCCAUUUUUUCAACAAGUAUUUACGGAAGAAGGUAG